This is a long non-coding RNA of Carassius carassius (crucian carp), 1503 nucleotides long. RefSeq lists it as uncharacterized. The transcript has 4 exons. The record is from RefSeq and is a predicted model, not a curated record. NCBI's taxonomy places the organism in Eukaryota, Metazoa, Chordata, Actinopteri, Cypriniformes, Cyprinidae.
UGGUGCCGGACUGAAACUAGCAAACACACUUGCGCUGCGCCUUGCGUCGCAUUGUGCCGUUUGAAUGAUAUGGCCCUAUUCUGUCUUUUAUAAUACAAGCUACAUAUUCCAACUCAAGCCUCAGUUUUUGUCUUUUUCUCUCCUCAGUACAUUACUGCAGGCUCACUCUGCAUUGCUGCAGAAAAUAACAUUAAUUCACCGUCCGGUUUGUGUUUGAUGAAUGCUUCACUUGGGAUGAACAUUUUCAGUACUUUAACUGCAGGCAUCACCAUAACUUUUAUUUCACUGGAUUUGGUUAUAGUCCCAUACACUUACCGCAGCAAUACAAACUGUUAUCAAUUAGAGAGAAUGUAUUUGGUAUGUCAUCUACUUUUAUAUUCACAUUUAUUUAGUAAUUGCUAUAAGAUCACUGUGUUGUCAGUACACAAGUUGUUGUUUUUUUGCCCCAUGAUUUACUUAACCUCAAUCCAUCCUAGGUGUAUAUGACUUUAUGAUAAAUAUAUUACAUUACCAUAUAAACUUCAAGGAAGGUCGAUUCUGGACUUUUGAGCCUUCAGUGUACUAGUGUGAGUAGUAAUUAUAAUUUAUUUAGUUACUUUCAUUUGUGUUAAUGUUGAUAUUUCUCUCUCAGACUCUUUAUAUGGGAAUCAGAGGCAUAUUGAUGUUACUGGCCGUGCUUGAGUUUAUCAUCUCCAUCUGUCUGUCAGCAUUUGCCUGUAAAACCUGCUGUAGUCCUCCUCAAAAACGAGAUGGGGAUGUUUAUCAGGUAUUUGUGUCUGUGCUUCUUCAGGAUCUGGGACGGCGAGACACGGACACCUACAACACCCUCUAUCCCGGGAAUUAUUAGUUGCUGGCCUGAGAAACUCUCAAAACGUGCAGCUCAUUCAGUCUUCAUGCCCUUAAAACUGUAUUUUUGUUUAUGAGUACGUUUUAAAAGAGUUUUGUUGAUCAUGAGAUUCUGCUUUAUUGUCCUUGUUUACAUGUGUCUUUGAGACAAACAACACAAUUAAUUUAUAAAAUACAUGUGUAAGCCUCUUCAUUUCAACAUAAAUUUAUAUUUUUCACUUGGACAGAAUAAAAGUGUGUAUAACACAAAAUAAACCCAAAUGAGCAACACCACAGUAAAAAUAUAAUUAUAAAAGCAUAUCACUAAAAAUAGCCUACUAUAUAAACUAAACUAAAUAAAACAACUAAACUGCAACCUAGCAAACACGGAAUGUGCUCAGAACUUUGCCUAACGUUCUGGUGAACUUCUUUCAAAGUUAUAAACAUAUGGUCUUCAAGUAACCUUAAUAGAACAUUGUUAAUUCAACGUUAAAUUGCUUUUAAUAUCUUUCUCAAGCACAGAAAGACUUAUACAUGGUUAUGAAAUGUUUGAGUUGGAUGUUCAUCAAACAUUUUUAAAAUGUUACUAUUAGUUUUGGAACAUUAAGAACAUUUGAACAUGUUCAAAUGUAAGAUUCCCAUAAUGUUUGGAAAAUGCUAAAGAUGCUCCCUUAAAGU